GUGGGCAAUCUGCCCUUCACUCUGGGACAAGCCCUGGAAACGGGGUCUAAUACCGGAUAAACUCUGUCCCGCAUGGGACGGGGUUGAAAGCUCCGGCGGUGAAGGAUGAGCCCGCGGCCUAUCAGCUUGUUGGUGGGGUGAUGGCCUACCAAGGCGACGACGGGUAGCCGGCCUGAGAGGGCGACCGGCCACACUGGGACUGAGACACGGCCCAGACUCCUACGGGAGGCAGCAGUGGGGAAUAUUGCACAAUGGGCGAAAGCCUGAUGCAGCGACGCCGCGUGAGGGAUGACGGCCUUCGGGUUGUAAACCUCUUUCAGCAGGGAAGAAGCGAGAGUGACGGUACCUGCAGAAGAAGCGCCGGCUAACUACGUGCCAGCAGCCGCGGUAAUACGUAGGGCGCAAGCGUUGUCCGGAAUUAUUGGGCGUAAAGAGCUCGUAGGCGGCUUGUUGCGUCGGUUGUGAAAGCCCGGGGCUUAACCCCGGGUCUGCAGUCGAUACGGGCAGGCUAGAGUGUGGUAGGGGAGAUCGGAAUUCCUGGUGUAGCGGUGAAAUGCGCAGAUAUCAGGAGGAACACCG
This 579-nucleotide ribosomal RNA is filed under the name Streptomyces sp. S2n16. RNAcentral's name for it is "bacterial SSU rRNA". It matches the Rfam family "Bacterial small subunit ribosomal RNA", at positions 117 to 711 of the family's 1533-position model. The record is from RNAcentral. Lineage: Bacteria; Bacillati; Actinomycetota; Actinomycetes; Kitasatosporales; Streptomycetaceae.